Ctenopharyngodon idella (grass carp) is the source of this 848-nucleotide long non-coding RNA. RefSeq lists it as uncharacterized. Lineage: Eukaryota; Metazoa; Chordata; Actinopteri; Cypriniformes; Xenocyprididae. The transcript is spliced from 4 exons. The record is from RefSeq and is a predicted model, not a curated record.
GGGGCGAUAGAGUUAAAUUGAAAUGACACUGACAUUAAACCGGAUGCGGCCGAAACUUGGCCAAAUCUCGCGGUUCGUUUGAAUAGCUAUUUGACGUGGCGUCUUGCGUUGGUCUGGCGGUAACAAACAUCAAAUGUCUGACAUGAAAUUGGAUGUGUUAUUGUUCAGGUGUCCUCAUAAGGCAAGAGUCGUGAGUCAUUCUCUCUCUGCUGACCAGAGGCCAUACUGAUGGGCUGAUGAUAAAGUCUGGAGGUGUCUGGAGAGGAGAGAUAAGUGAAGCCGCCAAUGUCCAAAUAUGGCGCUGACAUCUUGGAGCCUGAGUCUGCAUAGUAGUGAGCGUGAAGUUGAGCUGUGGUAUCAAGGCCCCACCCACACUCCCGCAGAAUCGAGAAAUUUAUUUUGAUGGGGUGAUCUGGCUCCCGUAUGCCAGGCCGAGACCUGAGAGUGUGAGGGAAAGAAAAAAGGGAUGGAAAGGCGAUACGAGGACGUCACAUUGUGAAUGACUGCGAAAAAGUUGCGGUCCAACAGCAGACUGAAGACAGCAGUGCACGGUCAGCUUAAGUUUUGUGAUUUUAAAUAUAUUUUUACGUUAUGGCGUGAAGAAAAUGUAGUUUAAUGCAGAAGUUUUAUUGAUUACAUCAGAAGUCAGACGUUGUUAGAGAUUGUGGGUAUGAAAGUGUCACUGAAGUCAUGAGUUUAAGCCAGAACACUGUUAUUUCUGAUGUGAUUCCGAAUGUAAGCACUUUUUGAGAGUUUUGCUGUGUUUUUCAAGUCAUUUGCAGAUUGUAGAUCAUGAGGUUAUUUUUUACUUUUGAGUUGCUUGAGGACACUUAUUAAAGGGAUAGUUU